GUUUGUAACACCCAAAGCCGGUGGGGUACCUUUAGGAGCUGCCGUCUAAGGUGGGACAGAUGAUUAGGGUGAAGUCGUAACAAGGUAGCCGUAGGAGAACCUGCGGCUGGAUCACCUCCUUUCUAAGGAAUAAUACGGAACCGCACACGAGUCAAAGUUUUGUUUAGUUUUGAGAGGUCUACUCUCACUUUUGUUCUUUGAAAACUGAAUAAUAUCUAUAAUUUUCUAAUUUUAAUUAAUCAUAAUUAAACCGAGAGAAAACCAGCGUAAUUUUAAAGAGUUAAACAAGAUUAGUUCAAAAUAAUCGCAAUACUCAAUUAAUCGCUUUACCGUAGGUAAAGUUAGGUUAAGUUAGGAAGGGCGCAUGGUGGAUGCCUUGGUACUAGGAGCCGAUGAAGGACGGGACUAACACCGAUAUGCCUCGGGGAGCUGUAAGUAAGCUUUGAUCCGGGGAUUUCCGAAUGGGGCAACCCAAACUUUAACGACUAUAUCCGCAUCUGAAUUCAUAGGAUGUGUGAAGGUAA
Molecule: unclassified non-coding RNA, 524 nt
Filed under: Pediococcus acidilactici
Lineage: Bacteria; Bacillati; Bacillota; Bacilli; Lactobacillales; Lactobacillaceae
Description: partial contains 16S ribosomal RNA, 16S-23S intergenic spacer and 23S ribosomal RNA
Rfam family: Bacterial large subunit ribosomal RNA (bases 345-524)
Source: RNAcentral